RNAcentral lists this ribosomal RNA (2902 nucleotides) under Klebsiella pneumoniae. RNAcentral's name for it is "23S ribosomal RNA". It matches the Rfam family "Bacterial large subunit ribosomal RNA". The record is from RNAcentral. Lineage: Bacteria; Pseudomonadati; Pseudomonadota; Gammaproteobacteria; Enterobacterales; Enterobacteriaceae.
GGUUAAGCGAUUAAGCGUACACGGUGGAUGCCCUGGCAGUCAGAGGCGAUGAAGGACGUGCUAAUCUGCGAAAAGCGUCGGUAAGGUGAUAUGAACCGUUAUAACCGGCGAUGUCCGAAUGGGGAAACCCAGUGUGAUUCGUCACACUAUCGUUAACUGAAUACAUAGGUUAACGAGGCGAACCGGGGGAACUGAAACAUCUAAGUACCCCGAGGAAAAGAAAUCAACCGAGAUUCCCCCAGUAGCGGCGAGCGAACGGGGAGCAGCCCAGAGUCUGAAUCAGCUUGUGUGUUAGUGGAACGGUCUGGAAAGUCCGACGGUACAGGGUGAUAGUCCCGUACACCAAAAUGCACAGGCUGUGAACUCGAAGAGUAGGGCGGGACACGUGGUAUCCUGUCUGAAUAUGGGGGGACCAUCCUCCAAGGCUAAAUACUCCUGACUGACCGAUAGUGAACCAGUACCGUGAGGGAAAGGCGAAAAGAACCCCGGCGAGGGGAGUGAAAAAGAACCUGAAACCGUGUACGUACAAGCAGUGGGAGCACCUUCGGGUGUGACUGCGUACCUUUUGUAUAAUGGGUCAGCGACUUAUAUUCUGUAGCAAGGUUAACCGUAUAGGGGAGCCGCAGGGAAACCGAGUCUUAACUGGGCGUUAAGUUGCAGGGUAUAGACCCGAAACCCGGUGAUCUAGCCAUGGGCAGGUUGAAGGUUGGGUAACACUAACUGGAGGACCGAACCGACUAAUGUUGAAAAAUUAGCGGAUGACUUGUGGCUGGGGGUGAAAGGCCAAUCAAACCGGGAGAUAGCUGGUUCUCCCCGAAAGCUAUUUAGGUAGCGCCUCGUGAACUCAUCUUCGGGGGUAGAGCACUGUUUCGGCUAGGGGGUCAUCCCGACUUACCAACCCGAUGCAAACUACGAAUACCGAAGAAUGUUAUCACGGGAGACACACGGCGGGUGCUAACGUCCGUCGUGAAGAGGGAAACAACCCAGACCGCCAGCUAAGGUCCCAAAGUCAUGGUUAAGUGGGAAACGAUGUGGGAAGGCACAGACAGCCAGGAUGUUGGCUUAGAAGCAGCCAUCAUUUAAAGAAAGCGUAAUAGCUCACUGGUCGAGUCGGCCUGCGCGGAAGAUGUAACGGGGCUAAACCAUGCACCGAAGCUGCGGCAGCGACACUAUGUGUUGUUGGGUAGGGGAGCGUUCUGUAAGCCUGCGAAGGUGACCUGUGAGGGUUGCUGGAGGUAUCAGAAGUGCGAAUGCUGACAUAAGUAACGAUAAAGCGGGUGAAAAGCCCGCUCGCCGGAAGACCAAGGGUUCCUGUCCAACGUUAAUCGGGGCAGGGUGAGUCGACCCCUAAGGCGAGGCCGAAAGGCGUAGUCGAUGGGAAACAGGUUAAUAUUCCUGUACUUGGUGUUACUGCGAAGGGGGGACGGAGAAGGCUAUGUUAGCCGGGCGACGGUUGUCCCGGUUUAAGCAUGUAGGCUGAUUGUCCAGGCAAAUCCGGAUAAUCAAGGCUGAGGUGUGAUGACGAGGCACUACGGUGCUGAAGUAACAAAUGCCCUGCUUCCAGGAAAAGCCUCUAAGCAUCAGGUAACAUCAAAUCGUACCCCAAACCGACACAGGUGGUCAGGUAGAGAAUACCAAGGCGCUUGAGAGAACUCGGGUGAAGGAACUAGGCAAAAUGGUGCCGUAACUUCGGGAGAAGGCACGCUGGUGUGUAGGUGAAGCCCCUGCGGGUGGAGCUGAGACCAGUCGAAGAUACCAGCUGGCUGCAACUGUUUAUUAAAAACACAGCACUGUGCAAACACGAAAGUGGACGUAUACGGUGUGACGCCUGCCCGGUGCCGGAAGGUUAAUUGAUGGGGUUAUCCGUAAGGAGAAGCUCUUGAUCGAAGCCCCGGUAAACGGCGGCCGUAACUAUAACGGUCCUAAGGUAGCGAAAUUCCUUGUCGGGUAAGUUCCGACCUGCACGAAUGGCGUAAUGAUGGCCAGGCUGUCUCCACCCGAGACUCAGUGAAAUUGAACUCGCUGUGAAGAUGCAGUGUACCCGCGGCAAGACGGAAAGACCCCGUGAACCUUUACUAUAGCUUGACACUGAACAUUGAGCCUUGAUGUGUAGGAUAGGUGGGAGGCUUUGAAGCGUGGACGCCAGUCUGCGUGGAGCCAACCUUGAAAUACCACCCUUUAAUGUUUGAUGUUCUAACGUUGGCCCCUUACCGGGGUUGCGGACAGUGUCUGGUGGGUAGUUUGACUGGGGCGGUCUCCUCCCAAAGCGUAACGGAGGAGCACGAAGGUUAGCUAAUCCUGGUCGGACAUCAGGAGGUUAGUGCAAUGGCAUAAGCUAGCUUGACUGCGAGCGUGACGGCGCGAGCAGGUGCGAAAGCAGGUCAUAGUGAUCCGGUGGUUCUGAAUGGAAGGGCCAUCGCUCAACGGAUAAAAGGUACUCCGGGGAUAACAGGCUGAUACCGCCCAAGAGUUCAUAUCGACGGCGGUGUUUGGCACCUCGAUGUCGGCUCAUCACAUCCUGGGGCUGAAGUAGGUCCCAAGGGUAUGGCUGUUCGCCAUUUAAAGUGGUACGCGAGCUGGGUUUAGAACGUCGUGAGACAGUUCGGUCCCUAUCUGCCGUGGGCGCUGGAGAAUUGAGGGGGGCUGCUCCUAGUACGAGAGGACCGGAGUGGACGCAUCACUGGUGUUCGGGUUGUCAUGCCAAUGGCACUGCCCGGUAGCUAAAUGCGGAAGAGAUAAGUGCUGAAAGCAUCUAAGCACGAAACUUGCCCCGAGAUGAGUUCUCCCUGAGACUUUAAGUCUCCUGAAGGAACGUUGAAGACGACGACGUUGAUAGGCCGGGUGUGUAAGCGCAGCGAUGCGUUGAGCUAACCGGUACUAAUGAACCGUGAGGCUUAACCUU